RNAcentral lists this unclassified non-coding RNA (226 nucleotides) under air metagenome. RNAcentral's name for it is "partial contains small subunit ribosomal RNA, internal transcribed spacer 1, and 5.8S ribosomal RNA". The stretch from base 1 to 46 matches the Rfam family "Eukaryotic small subunit ribosomal RNA", at positions 1786 to 1831 of the family's 1831-position model. The record is from RNAcentral.
AAGUCGUAACAAGGUCUCCGUAGGUGAACCUGCGGAGGGAUCAUUACCGAGUGCGGGUCUCUCGACCCAACCUCCAACCCUUUGUUAAUGAAUAUACGUUGCCUCGGGGGGCGGCCCGGCUUUGAUCAGCCAGGAGUCCCCCGAAGGUCCCAACACACUGCAUCAUUGCGUCGGAGUAUUGAAUAACAAUCAAUCAAAACUUUCAACAACGGAUCUCUUGGUUCUG